Molecule: transfer RNA, 73 nt
Filed under: Bacteroidota bacterium
Lineage: Bacteria; Pseudomonadati; Bacteroidota
Description: Bacteroidetes bacterium (hot springs metagenome) tRNA-Trp
Rfam family: tRNA
About the family: Transfer RNA (tRNA) molecules are approximately 80 nucleotides in length. Their secondary structure includes four short double-helical elements and three loops (D, anti-codon, and T loops).
Source: RNAcentral
ACGGGUGUAGCUCAGCUGGUAGAGCAACGGUCUCCAAAACCGUGUGUCGGGCGUUCGAAUCGCUCCUCCCGUG